This 468-nucleotide ribosomal RNA is filed under the name uncultured bacterium. RNAcentral's name for it is "partial 16S ribosomal RNA". It matches the Rfam family "Bacterial small subunit ribosomal RNA", at positions 28 to 507 of the family's 1533-position model. The record is from RNAcentral.
GACGAACGCUGGCGGCGUGCUUAACACAUGCAAGUCGAACGGAAAGGCCCUGCUUUUGUGGGGUGCUCGAGUGGCGAACGGGUGAGUAACACGUGAGUAACCUGCCCUUGACUUUGGGAUAACUUCAGGAAACUGGGGCUAAUACCGGAUAGGAGCUCCUGCUGCAUGGUGGGGGUUGGAAAGUUUCGGCGGUUGGGGAUGGACUCGCGGCUUAUCAGCUUGUUGGUGGGGUAGUGGCUUACCAAGGCUUUGACGGGUAGCCGGCCUGAGAGGGUGACCGGCCACAUUGGGACUGAGAUACGGCCCAGACUCCUACGGGAGGCAGCAGUGGGGAAUAGUGCACAAUGGGCGGAAGCCUGAUGCAGCAAAGCCGCGUGCGGGAUGACGGCAUUCGGGUUGUAAACCGCUUUCGCCUGUGACGAAGCGUGAGUGACGGUAAUGGGUAAAGAAGCACCGGCUAACUACGUG